Molecule: long non-coding RNA, 567 nt
Organism: Polypterus senegalus (gray bichir)
Lineage: Eukaryota; Metazoa; Chordata; Cladistia; Polypteriformes; Polypteridae
Exons: 4
Source: RefSeq, a predicted model, not a curated record
UGGACAUAUACAGCUUUUUGAUGCCCGGUGGUAACCAGCCUUCCAUGUGGCUGAACAGAUGCCAGUGUACCCGAAUUCUGAGACAUAACUGGUUGUUCUUAUCUUCUGCUUUUAAGAUUUCCAGUUCGAGAUGAUGUGCAGUUCGUGUUAAAUUUGCUGUUUCUACAGUUGCAGUGAAGUAGAAGAUUCUGGCCGUGUUAUGGGGCAGCAGUUAAAGAAGAAGGAUGGAGAGAUGUGUGCCAUGUUGAAGUAGAGGCUGCCCCUCCUGCCUGGCACUUCUAGAAUCCUCCAUCUCAAUCCCUGCUCUGAUCUGCUGUGCCUCUGCCAAGUGAUCAUGAGUGGUUCCCCCCCUGCGUCUCCACCGUCUGUUAAAUAAAUUCAAACUGUCUGUGAUAGAAGAAAAGUUCAGAAGACAUCCUGAAACGGAAUUGUGAUUGGAGUGAGACGGCCACAAUUAUGUAUGCAGGGUUGUGCAGAGGGGGUCAGCGUGGGUUUUGGCUUGGGACCCCCAGAGGUUUCUUAUCUCCAGUAUCGAUGAAGGCUGCAAGUUUGUCUUUGUCCCUGGCC